RNAcentral lists this transfer RNA (71 nucleotides) under Ictidomys tridecemlineatus (thirteen-lined ground squirrel). RNAcentral's name for it is "Spermophilus tridecemlineatus (thirteen-lined ground squirrel) tRNA". It matches the Rfam family "tRNA". Rfam says of the family: Transfer RNA (tRNA) molecules are approximately 80 nucleotides in length. Their secondary structure includes four short double-helical elements and three loops (D, anti-codon, and T loops). Further hydrogen bonds mediate the characteristic L-shaped molecular structure. tRNAs have two regions of fundamental functional importance: the anti-codon, which is responsible for specific mRNA codon recognition, and the 3' end, to which the tRNAs corresponding amino acid is attached (by aminoacyl-tRNA synthetases). tRNAs cope with the degeneracy of the genetic code in two manners: having more than one tRNA (with a specific anti-codon) for a particular amino acid; and 'wobble' base-pairing, i.e. permitting non-standard base-pairing at the 3rd anti-codon position. Lineage: Eukaryota; Metazoa; Chordata; Mammalia; Rodentia; Sciuridae. The record is from Rfam by way of RNAcentral.
GGGGACCUAGCUCAGUGGUAGAGAGCUUGUCUGCAUGCACAAGGCCCUGGGUUCAAUUCCCAGCACCUCCA